Molecule: long non-coding RNA, 1699 nt
Organism: Equus caballus (horse)
Lineage: Eukaryota; Metazoa; Chordata; Mammalia; Perissodactyla; Equidae
Source: Ensembl
UCACCACCCGGCCACAGGAAACCAGCUGACUUUGUCCUCUCAUGUCCCCCGUCCCAGCCCAGGAAGGGACUUGCUGUCCCGUCAACAGCCCAGCUUCUGAGAGCGACUCUCAGAGCUGCUGGGGCCCAAGACAGCAUCCAGCCCUGCAUUUUAUGGGAUGGGCUACUGGGGCCCAGAGAAGAUCCAAGGAUGGAGCAUUUUCCAGAUCCAAGAAUGGAGAGUUUUCUAGAGCCCUGGACAGCGUUUUCCCAGACCUAGGAAUGGAACUUUCCAGAGCUGGGGAUUGAGAAUUCUCUUGAGCCAGAAAUAACAUGCCUCAACUCAUUGUCGUAGGCUUUUGCAGAGGGAGGCAGGGAAAAAUGUGAAGAUGGAGGGGCCAGGUCUCGGUCAGAGUGGAGAAGAGCCUCUCCUCCAGAGGCAAAGGGUGCUGGCAUCCGGGCUGCUCGAUCUCUUGGGGUAUCCACAGUCACGCCGAGACCCCAUCAGACUCCACCCUUCGUGAUUACAACUCCCAGACAGCAGGAGGCAAAGCUCAUCAGCGUCUCAGAGACACAAACCUGCUUGAAAAUGGUUCCCACUCCCAGAUGAUCCAGAGCUAUGCCCCAAGGUCAAUGUGAAAGCUCAUUGAAUCAUUUUACUGCAGUGGAGAAAAAAGUCUAAAAGCAAGUUCCCUGCCUCAACCCUAUGGACAGAAAGGACCUCAGGGCCUCUUUUGUCAACUGGGGUGUUGAGCUUGCCUCCUUUCAUCAUUACGUUGGUAAUUUGUGCACUCGCCCUAAAUAAAUAGUAGUGAAUAGAUCUAGGUAUUGGAACGGAUAGGAAUUUGGCAUCAUCAGAACCAGCUUAGGAUCCAUUGGCAAGCUUCUGUUCAGUCCAGGCUUCAGUUUUCCCAUUUGACAAAUGGCAACACCGUGGUUCAUCCUGUGUGUGAAGCGCCCCAGCAUGGCGACCAGGGGGUGGCGGCCUUCUAAGAAAUGUAAGACGCAGGCAGUGAGGAGAAAUAAGCACCGGCCUGUCUGGGGGCCGACUCUCCUUAAUGGGGUGUCCUGGGAGACCUCACUUCCUGCCCCGACCCUCAAGUUCCCCCUCUGUGGGCAUCAAGACUUAAGAGAGAUGACAACAGCUACUACCCAUGGCAGCUCUGACGUGUAUUAACAGUCUGGGAGCUGCACUUUGGCCCUCGGAAAGGCGCCCCAAAGCCCGUCCUUUGGGCAGGAGGCGCUGAAUCAUUUCUCAGCGUCUGUAAUGACAUCCGUCAACAUCUUGUUGGAGGGUCAGGUGAGGUUCUCGUGGUGUAAAUAUGGUGACUCGGCCAAGGACCCAGGAACGGUGGACACCUCCUGGCCGAUCAAUCCUCCUCCCUCGAGAUUUCCCGGGCAGCUAUGCGUGCAAGGAUGAAAAACAAAUGGGAAAUUAAAGUGCUCCAGUGACAAGAGAGGAGUGAGGGCCGCCUUCGCUCUCCGAGGCGGGCUCUCUGCCCAGAAGGGAGGGACAGCAUUUCUCAUCACACGAACCAAAUCUGUUUCUGAAGACGUGUUGGGAAGCGACACUAUAGAGACGAUACGGUUUCUCUUGCCCACCCGAACUCCCAACCAAUUAACCCAAAUAUCUCAAAAACACCGUUAAACACCUAUACGACAGCCUCGCAAGGAUUUCUGCCUAAAACAGAGCAUUGUAAACUGAAAUCAAUAAAAAGUUA